This is a non-coding RNA of Musa acuminata subsp. malaccensis (wild Malaysian banana), 1439 nucleotides long. NCBI's taxonomy places the organism in Eukaryota, Viridiplantae, Streptophyta, Magnoliopsida, Zingiberales, Musaceae. The record is from RefSeq and is a predicted model, not a curated record.
UGUGUGUGUGUGUGUGUGUGUGUGUGUGUGUUUGUGUAAUAUAUAUAUGUUCAAGAGGCGAUGACGAUGAAACCUUCCUUGGGGGAGGCGGUGGCGGGGCAGCUCGGAUGGCUUUGCCGCUGCUCCGCAGGGCAAGCAACCGCUGCAGCCACUCCUCCAACAGAUAACGGAUGGUUUGUUCUCCAACCUGUCGGUGAUGGAUCAAAGGCGAAUCCGAGCCUCCCUUUCUUCCUCCUGUUUCCGUCCUUCAAGAUCAUUCCAAUAUAUUCUUUUUCUCUACAAUCUUUCUUCCAUUUUCUCUCUUUUGGAUCACAUUCAGUCUGAAGCUUGAUUCUUUCUACGGGUAAUCGAUUCAGCAUUCCUGCUUCGAUUUUAGGUUGUUGAUCUAUAUUUAGGGUUCUUCUUUUUUCAAGAUUUCCUUUUUGUUUAUGGUGCGGUGUGUGUCUGAUUUCCAAUUCGUUUAGAAUUUCUGGUUUCGAACUCUGCAUUUUAAUUUUGUGAUUGAUUGGUGUGGCUAAUAGAUGCCUACAUUUAUAGGGUUUCAAUUUAUAGUGUUUCAUGGAUUUGGAAUGACCUGAGGCAGGCAAGGAACUUCGAACCCCAAGGCUUGCAUGACUAGGGUUUCAAUCUAUAGUAUUUCGUGGAUUUGGUCGUUCUAUUUUUUUUGUUGUGUUGCAACCCCCAAAUUUAUUCUGAUAUUAUAAGCUUCGAAUAAAAUAAUCGAGACUUCAAUUCAAGCCGAGAGAUGGUGGCCGUAGCAGAGUCUGACAUUGAUGAGACGUGUCGGGCUCUUGCUGGAGGUGAUGAGUAUCCGCUCCUUCCCAAAAGGGCUGCCGUAUGAGACUGUUUAUCUAAUAAAAAUACGACUUUGAUGAACAGAUUCGACUGCUGUGCAAAUUCCUUAAUGCAAACUAACAUUUUCUUUGGGCAAUUGCCCAAAAUAAAUCUUCAAGAUCUGGGGUUUCCAUCUUCACGCUCUACGAUGGCUUUAUGCAAUCUUCACGUUUUGAUGUCCUGUUUCGUACCCAUUUUUUCGGUUCUUCGAGACCUUUUUGUACCUCUUUGCCUUUUGCAGCCAUCUCUUGGUUCUGUUAUUCAGAAGUCUCUUACAUGCCGAUGUGGGAUCGCGUGGGCUUUGAAAUUUUUGGCCGUGAUCUGCAUAUCAGAGUGUCUGAAUUCUCAAACUUACAAACUAUUGUGUGCAGAAGAGAUGCCAGGAACAAAAGUUCUUUGAUGUGUAGUCAGUCAUCUUUUAUAUCUUUUCAGAAGCUACAGAUUGGAUAUGGCCUGAACCAGCAGACGUCACAAUCUUUGCCAAGUCAGCUGCUUGGCCACCAUACUACUUCGGAGGGGAGUUGGGCGGUAUCUAGUUGCAAUAAGACUAAGUCAGGGCAAUUCAAAGCCUGCGGCCACCUGCAUGCCUGAAAUGAAAUAUGCAC